RNAcentral lists this long non-coding RNA (309 nucleotides) under Mytilus galloprovincialis (Mediterranean mussel). The record is from RNAcentral. Lineage: Eukaryota; Metazoa; Mollusca; Bivalvia; Mytilida; Mytilidae.
AUGACAAACCCGAUUAUUAUAGAUUAAAUAUAUUGCCAAUACAACUCUGAUUUAAUCCUGAACAUAGACAGAGUUACCGUAUAUAUACAUAGAACAAUAACAAAAAAAUGAAUAUCAGAACUAAGUUGAUCACGUAUUUCAAAAUAGUAUCCAUUCGGAAAGGCAUUUGGUCUUCUGUCCGGUCUGUACCUGUGUGAUGUUGUUCAUUGGUUAUGUUAGGAUGAUGUGGCCUGUUUAUAUUUCUCCUCGAAAACAUGGUGGUUCUUGAAAUAUCACCAAUCCAAUAGUUUUGUAAAUGGUAUAUCAGGU